Molecule: ribosomal RNA, 439 nt
Filed under: uncultured Bacteroides sp.
Lineage: Bacteria; Pseudomonadati; Bacteroidota; Bacteroidia; Bacteroidales; Bacteroidaceae
Description: bacterial SSU rRNA
Rfam family: Bacterial small subunit ribosomal RNA
Source: RNAcentral
CCUACGGGAGGCAGCAGUGAGGAAUAUUGGUCAAUGGACGAGAGUCUGAACCAGCCAAGUAGCGUGAAGGAUGACUGCCCUAUGGGUUGUAAACUUCUUUUAUACGGGAAUAAAGUGGAGUAUGCAUACUCCUUUGUAUGUACCGUAUGAAUAAGGAUCGGCUAACUCCGUGCCAGCAGCCGCGGUAAUACGGAGGAUCCGAGCGUUAUCCGGAUUUAUUGGGUUUAAAGGGAGCGUAGGCGGGUGCUUAAGUCAGUUGUGAAAGUUUGCGGCUCAACCGUAAAAUUGCAGUUGAUACUGGGCGCCUUGAGUGCAGCAUAGGUAGGCGGAAUUCGUGGUGUAGCGGUGAAAUGCUUAGAUAUCACGAAGAACUCCGAUUGCGAAGGCAGCUUACUGGACUGUAACUGACGCUGAUGCUCGAAAGUGUGGGUAUCAAACA